Molecule: ribosomal RNA, 461 nt
Filed under: uncultured bacterium
Lineage: Bacteria
Description: bacterial SSU rRNA
Rfam family: Bacterial small subunit ribosomal RNA
Source: RNAcentral
GACGAACGCUGGCGGCGUGCCUAACACAUGCAAGUCGAACGAAGAAUGUUUUUCGGAAUAUUCUUAGUGGCGGACGGGUGAGUAACGCGUGAACAAUCUGCCCCGUACAAAGGGAUAGCCUCGGGAAACCGGGAUUAAAACCAUAUAACACUUAACUGCCGCAUGGUAGUGAAGUCAAAUCGAUUAAGAGGUAUGGGAUGAGUUCGCGUCUGAUUAGCUAGUUGGUGAGGUAAGGGCUCACCAAGGCGACGAUCAGUAGCCGGCCUGAGAGGGUGAACGGCCACACUGGAACUGAGACACGGUCCAGACUCCUACGGGAGGCAGCAGUGGGGAAUAUUGCACAAUGGAGGGAACUCUGAUGCAGCGACGCCGCGUGAGUGAAGAAGGGUCUUCGGAUCGUAAAACUCUGUCCUUGGUGAGAAAAGGACGGUAGCCAAGGAGGAAGCCCGGCUAACUACGUG